RNAcentral lists this long non-coding RNA (232 nucleotides) under Gossypium barbadense (sea-island cotton). RNAcentral's name for it is "long non-coding RNA (GBAR_LNC012367)". Lineage: Eukaryota; Viridiplantae; Streptophyta; Magnoliopsida; Malvales; Malvaceae. The record is from RNAcentral.
AUCUGUGUACGUAUUCAUUCUCGAAUUGUGAAGAUAUGAUGGCUCAGAUACAGAAGGUUGUAGUGACGUAUCAAAGACAUUUAUGGAAAAAGAAAUGAUUGUAGAGUAAGGUAGGGUAUCUAAUGUGUAUAAGAAUAAAGUUAGAGGAAGUGCUCACUAGAGGCAAAGUUAAAGGUUAUGAGUGAUAAGAUUGUCAUUAUGAUUUCAUAGUUACAAUGUGUAAGUAUUACCC